This 254-nucleotide ribosomal RNA is filed under the name uncultured bacterium. Its description in RNAcentral is "partial 16S ribosomal RNA". It matches the Rfam family "Bacterial small subunit ribosomal RNA", at positions 524 to 776 of the family's 1533-position model. The record is from RNAcentral.
UACAGAGGGUGCGAGCGUUGUUCGGAAUUACUGGGCGUAAAGCGCGCGCAGGCGGCCUUUUAAGUCUGACGGUGAAAUGCCGGGGCUCAACCCCGUGCCCGCCGGAGAUACUGGGAGGCUGGAGACGAGUAGAGGCAAGCGGAAUUCCGGGUGUAGCGGUGAAAUGCGUAGAUAUCCGGAGGAACACCGGUGGCGAAGGCGGCUUCCUGGACCGACACUGACGCUGAGGCGCGAAAGCUAGGGGAGCAAACGGG